AAAGUUGUAUCCAUGGCUGAAAAUGGUGAAGAAAAACUCAUAGCUGUAGCUCGUCAUAUCGCCAAAACACUUGGUCAUACUGAUACUAUGACUGAUGACAUCCUUCAAAUCUUUUCUAGUUUUGACAAUCGAUUCCGUGAAAAACUUACUGAUGAUCAACCACUUGAACGGAGCCUUAAAUCUCUUCAUCGGCAGAUCUCUCGUCAUCUCUCUGCUCAGCAUCCUAUAUGGUCUGAUUCUGCUGAUUCUGCUGCCUUCCUUGAUUCUGUUGACCAAUUAUUGGCUAUAAUUCAUGAAUGGAAUCCUAUGGCUAAUGAUAAAUCUGUUUCUGCUUCUCUUGAUAAAGCUGAGGAUUUACUUCAACAAGCUAUGUUUCGUUUACAAGAUGAGUUUACUACCCUCAUGCAACGCGCCUCCGAGUCCGUGG
Molecule: unclassified non-coding RNA, 427 nt
Filed under: Hevea brasiliensis (rubber tree)
Lineage: Eukaryota; Viridiplantae; Streptophyta; Magnoliopsida; Malpighiales; Euphorbiaceae
Source: RNAcentral